Vicia faba (fava bean) is the source of this 231-nucleotide non-coding RNA. NCBI's taxonomy places the organism in Eukaryota, Viridiplantae, Streptophyta, Magnoliopsida, Fabales, Fabaceae. The record is from the annotation of a GenBank genome assembly.
AUGAAGAAGAAUCGCGGUGAAGACGCGCAGAAUCACAGAAGUGGAGAGACGAGAGAGGACGGUUAUAUGUGGUUUGGCAUAGUGGCAAUGAAGUCCAAUGAUCGAGGAUGUAAGGUUGAGAUAAAGAGGAGGGGAAGGUGGUUAAACGAUGAGAAGCUCCACCGCUGUUAUGUUGAGUUUGUGAGGGGGGAAGAGGAGCGUGUUCAGAGAAGUUGCAUAGUCACAAUUUGA